Mus musculus (house mouse) is the source of this 1218-nucleotide long non-coding RNA. RefSeq annotates it as predicted gene, 53987. NCBI's taxonomy places the organism in Eukaryota, Metazoa, Chordata, Mammalia, Rodentia, Muridae. The transcript is spliced from 4 exons. The record is from RefSeq and is a predicted model, not a curated record.
CAUCAAGGACCCACAAGGCCUUAUACAAAGUAGGGGAUUCUGGGAUGCAAAAUAGAAGGCGGGCAGACAGAACAAUUUCCAUGAUAUAGGAGCCCAGUCUUUCCUGAAGGAGGGCAGGAAGAGUACACUCUUCUAAGCCUCAUUGCAAUUUCUGGUACAAAUUUAGGAGUGAUUAUCUGGGCAAGCAAUUUGGAUCAUAUAGGAAGACAGCAGGGGUUAUUAGUAACCUGAAUUUGCUCACUGGAUGAAGGCAAAGCAAGCUAACAUAACAUAUUCUACACUUUCUCACAAAGGAGACUGUAAGCAGAGUGCUUUAGCAAGACAUCUGACCACAACUGCCUGGCUGUUCUAGUCGUUAAGACAUAGAGAUGGAAGACUGGGGCGUAGCUCAACUGACAGACAUCUAUUGGAAAAGGCAGACAGACUCCUGGCUCUCCAGAAUUGGAUAUCCAAGAAAUGUAGAAGAACAGAGUUUGGAAAGCCAUCUCUUCUUGUCCUCAUCUUUACUAUGUGUGGGUGAUACACUGUAGACUACUUGGCCAGACUCAAUUUCUUGCUUCCUUCGUUGCUAAUGUUCGAAGGAGGAGGACUGGAGUUCGAAUGCAUUUGGAAUUAUGCAAAUGAAUCACUGAAGCGUCCCGUUGUGCUCUUUCCCCACAGAAUGCUGGAUUUGCUUAUUAAUCAUGAAGAGCGAAGGAAGACUAUGCAGUGUCUAGUGUGAUCCGGUUAUCGUGGACGACAUAAAGACAGCCAAGAUACGGCAGAUACUGUUUUGAUCAUUUCUGUCCAUUUGUCUUUUUAUACCCAAAGGAAAGGUAUUUUAAGAAUCACUGUUACUUGUUUCAAAUCUUUUCUCUUUACCCGUCUUUUCUUCCAUACUUGGCAUUAGAAAGGCUUUGAAGGUCAGAGAGAGGAAGGCUUUAAUGGUAACAGAUGAGUUCUGACAGUCAAGAACUUUUAAGUGGAAAGCCUUGCCCAGCAGCAAACAGAUGCUGUGAUGGACAGCAGCUGGACUGGGCUCCCAGUCUCUGCAUCUGUCUGACGUAAGCACUCCUCUAUUAUCAAGUAGCUAGGCCUUGGGAGUAUAAUAUACAUCAGCUGAGGUGACUUUUUAAUUAAAAAUUCUUAACAUUCUUUCUUUCAGAUAAACACAAUAUUUUGAUGUCAUUCUGAAAUAUUUGCCUUUAUUCAGUUAGGGCAGAUUCCUCAUUAAAUGCU